This 492-nucleotide ribosomal RNA is filed under the name uncultured bacterium. RNAcentral's name for it is "partial 16S ribosomal RNA". It matches the Rfam family "Bacterial small subunit ribosomal RNA", at positions 29 to 507 of the family's 1533-position model. The record is from RNAcentral.
AGUGAACGCUGGCGGUAGGCCUAACACAUGCCAGUCGAACGGCAGCACAGUAAGAGCUAGCUCUUACGGGUGGCGAGUGGCGGACGGGUGAGGAAUACAUCGGAAUCUACUUUUUCGUGGGGGAUAACGUAGGGAAACUUACGCUAAUACCGCAUACGACCUACGGGUGAAAGCAGGGGAUCUUCGGACCUUGCGCGAUUGAAUGAGCCGAUGUCGGAUUAGCUAGUUGGCGGGGUAAAGGCCCACCAAGGCGACGAUCCGUAGCUGGUCUGAGAGGAUGAUCAGCCACACUGGAACUGAGACACGGUCCAGACUCCUACGGGAGGCAGCAGUGGGGAAUAUUGGACAAUGGGCGCAAGCCUGAUCCAGCCAUACCGCGUGGGUGAAGAAGGCCUUCGGGUUGUAAAGCCCUUUUGUUGGGAAAGAAAAGCAGCAGGUUAAUACCCCGCUGUUCUGACGGUACCCAAAGAAUAAGCACCGGCUAACUUCGUG